CAAUAGCGUAUAUUAAAGUUGUUGCGGUUAAAAAGCUCGUAGUUGGAUUUCUGUCGAGAACUGGCGGUCUACACUUUGUGUAAGUAUCUGCUUAGGUCUUGGCAUCCUCCUGGGGAACGUUUCUGCGCUUGAUUGCGUGGAGCGGAAUUCAGGACUUUUACUUUGAGGAAAUUAGAGUGUUCACGGCAGGCAAACGCCUUGAAUAUAUUAGCAUGGAAUAAUAAUAUAGGACCUUUGUUCUAUUUUGUUGGUUUCUAGAGCGAAGGUAAUGAUUAAUAGGGAUAAUUGGGGGCAUUCGUAUUAACGCGUCAGAGGUGGAAUUCUUGGAUUGCGUUACGACGAACUACUGCGAAAGCAUUUGCCAAGGAUGUUUUCAUUGAUCAAGAACGAAAGUUAGGGGAUCGAAGACGAUCAGAUACCGU
This 422-nucleotide ribosomal RNA is filed under the name uncultured eukaryote. RNAcentral's name for it is "SSU rRNA". It matches the Rfam family "Eukaryotic small subunit ribosomal RNA", at positions 592 to 1018 of the family's 1831-position model. The record is from RNAcentral.